RNAcentral lists this transfer RNA (72 nucleotides) under Bos taurus (domestic cattle). It matches the Rfam family "tRNA". From Rfam's summary of the family: Transfer RNA (tRNA) molecules are approximately 80 nucleotides in length. The record is from Rfam by way of RNAcentral. RNAcentral also lists the same sequence under 5 other names. Lineage: Eukaryota; Metazoa; Chordata; Mammalia; Artiodactyla; Bovidae.
UCCCUAGUGACUCAGUUGGUAAAGAAUCUGCCUGCAAAGCAGAAGACCUGGGUUUGAUUCCUUGGUCAGGAA